This 253-nucleotide ribosomal RNA is filed under the name uncultured bacterium. Its description in RNAcentral is "partial 16S ribosomal RNA". It matches the Rfam family "Bacterial small subunit ribosomal RNA", at positions 524 to 776 of the family's 1533-position model. The record is from RNAcentral.
UACGUAGGUGGCAAGCGUUGUCCGGAAUUAUUGGGCGUAAAGCGCGCGCAGGCGGUCCUUUAAGUCUGAUGUGAAAGCCCACGGCUCAACCGUGGAGGGUCAUUGGAAACUGGGGGACUUGAGUACAGAAGAGAAGAGUGGAAUUCCAAGUGUAGCGGUGAAAUGCGUAGAGAUGUGGAGGAACACCAGUGGCGAAGGCGACUCUUUGGUCUGUAACUGACGCUGAGGCGCGAAAGCGUGGGGAGCAAACAGG